Molecule: ribosomal RNA, 254 nt
Filed under: uncultured bacterium
Lineage: Bacteria
Description: partial 16S ribosomal RNA
Rfam family: Bacterial small subunit ribosomal RNA
Source: RNAcentral
UACGGAGGGAGCGAGCGUUGUUCGGAAUUACUGGGCGUAAAGGGCGCGUAGGCGGCCAGGUAAGUCGCGUGUGAAAGGCCGGGGCUCAACCCCGAGCACUGCACGUGAUACUGCCUGGCUCGAGAGAGGUAGGGGCAAGCGGAAUUCCCGGUGUAGCGGUGGAAUGCGUAGAUAUCGGGAAGAACACCUGUGGCGAAGGCGGCUUGCUGGACCUUUUCUGACGCUGAAGCGCGAAAGCGUGGGGAGCAAACAGG